UGCAAGUCGAACGGAAAGGCCCUUCGGGGUACUCGAGUGGCGAACGGGUGAGUAACACGUGGGUGAUCUGCCCUGCACUUUGGGAUAAGCCUGGGAAACUGGGUCUAAUACCGAAUAGGACCGCAUGCUUCAUGGUGUGUGGUGGAAAGCUUUUGCGGUGUGGGAUGGGCCCGCGGCCUAUCAGCUUGUUGGUGAGGUAAUGGCUUACCAAGGCGACGACGGGUAGCCGGCCUGAGAGGGUGACCGGCCACACUGGGACUGAGAUACGGCCCAGACUCCUACGGGAGGCAGCAGUGGGGAAUAUUGCACAAUGGGCGCAAGCCUGAUGCAGCGACGCCGCGUGAGGGAUGACGGCCUUCGGGUUGUAAACCUCUUUCGCCAGGGACGAAGCGCAAGUGACGGUACCUGGAGAAGAAGGACCGGCCAACUACGUGCCAGCAGCCGCGGUAAUACGUAGGGUCCGAGCGUUGUCCGGAAUUACUGGGCGUAAAGAGCUCGUAGGUGGUUUGUCGCGUUGUUCGUGAAAACUCACAGCUUAACUGUGGGCGUGCGGGCGAUACGGGCAGACUUGAGUACUGCAGGGGAGACUGGAAUUCCUGGUGUAGCGGUGGAAUGCGCAGAUAUCAGGAGGAACACCGGUGGCGAAGGCGGGUCUCUGGGCAGUAACUGACGCUGAGGAGCGAAAGCGUGGGGAGCGAACAGGAUUAGAUACCCUGGUAGUCCACGCCGUAAACGGUGGGUACUAGGUGUGGGUUUCCUUCCUUGGGAUCCGUGCCGUAGCUAACGCAUUAAGUACCCCGCCUGGGGAGUACGGCCGCAAGGCUAAAACUCAAAGAAAUUGACGGGGGCCCGCACAAGCGGCGGAGCAUGUGGAUUAAUUCGAUGCAACGCGAAGAACCUUACCUGGGUUUGACAUGCACAGGACGCCGGCAGAGAUGUCGGUUCCCUUGUGGCCUGUGUGCAGGUGGUGCAUGGCUGUCGUCAGCUCGUGUCGUGAGAUGUUGGGUUAAGUCCCGCAACGAGCGCAACCCUUGUCUCAUGUUGCCAGCACGUUAUGGUGGGGACUCGUGAGAGACUGCCGGGGUCAACUCGGAGGAAGGUGGGGAUGACGUCAAGUCAUCAUGCCCCUUAUGUCCAGGGCUUCACACAUGCUACAAUGGCCGGUACAAAGGGCUGCGAUGCCGUGAGGUGGAGCGAAUCCUUUCAAAGCCGGUCUCAGUUCGGAUCGGGGUCUGCAACUCGACCCCGUGAAGUCGGAGUCGCUAGUAAUCGCAGAUCAGCAACGCUGCGGUGAAUACGUUCCCGGGCCUUGUACACACCGCCCGUCACGUCAUGAAAGUCGGUAACACCCGAAGC
Molecule: ribosomal RNA, 1356 nt
Filed under: Mycolicibacterium gilvum
Lineage: Bacteria; Bacillati; Actinomycetota; Actinomycetes; Mycobacteriales; Mycobacteriaceae
Description: bacterial SSU rRNA
Rfam family: Bacterial small subunit ribosomal RNA
Source: RNAcentral